GUAACCUGCCUUGGAGUGGGGAAUAACACAUCGAAAGAUGUGCUAAUACCGCAUAAUGCAGUUGGGCCGCAUGGCUCUGACUGCCAAAGAUUUAUCGCUCUGAGAUGGACUCGCGUCUGAUUAGCUGGUUGGCGGGGUAACGGCCCACCAAGGCGACGAUCAGUAGCCGGACUGAGAGGUUGACCGGCCACAUUGGGACUGAGACACGGCCCAGACUCCUACGGGAGGCAGCAG
Molecule: ribosomal RNA, 234 nt
Filed under: uncultured bacterium
Lineage: Bacteria
Description: partial 16S ribosomal RNA
Rfam family: Bacterial small subunit ribosomal RNA
Source: RNAcentral